UCCUACGGGAGGCAGCAGUGAGGAAUUUUCCGCAAUGGGCGAAAGCCUGACGGAGCAAUGCCGCGUGGAGGAUGAAAGCCUGUGGGUUGUAAACUCCUUUUCUCAGAGAAGAAGUUCUGACGGUAUCUGAGGAAUAAGCAUCGGCUAACUCCGUGCCAGCAGCCGCGGUAAUA
RNAcentral lists this ribosomal RNA (173 nucleotides) under uncultured bacterium. Its description in RNAcentral is "partial 16S ribosomal RNA". It matches the Rfam family "Bacterial small subunit ribosomal RNA", at positions 337 to 525 of the family's 1533-position model. The record is from RNAcentral.